This 9497-nucleotide unclassified non-coding RNA is filed under the name Neodiprion lecontei (redheaded pine sawfly). Its description in RNAcentral is "eukaryotic translation initiation factor 4E-binding protein Mextli, transcript variant X2". The record is from RNAcentral. Lineage: Eukaryota; Metazoa; Arthropoda; Insecta; Hymenoptera; Diprionidae.
UAGGUUAGUUGACUCUCUGCCCGUUCUCUGCUCUAGGCUGGGAGAUCGUGUCGUGAGAGCCCGGGUGAGAAGUCCGGCUAAGCGAGGUGCGGCGAGGCAGAGGACAGGGUAGAGAGAAAAUACCAUGACGAAUCGUUGGUCGUCCUCUUUGGUUUGAUCCCUAAAUAAAAAUCGAAAAAAUAAAAAUCAACAUACUAGAAUUCGCGUCAGAUCCGUGCGCGCACGUUUUUCGAUCGCCGUGUGGCCACAUAAAAUUAAGCAACUGUUCAUUGUCAUUCUGGGUGGAAAAGAAGAGGACAGUGCGCACCGCAAAUCAGCAACAUCCCUAUCUACCUGAAUUCAUUUUCCAGAAUACAAUGGCGACCACACAGCAACUGAACAGAAGUAGAACACUAAGAAAACUUGAGAAGCCCAGACCUCUAAAGCUUACGCAGCAUCGCCACACGACUGUCGAUGGGCGGAUCACGACUGUUGAGGAGAUAGUUUCCUUGAUUGACAAUGUUGCGAUACAUCUAUCGAAUGGCUACUUCGACAGAACUCUGCAGAUGAACGUCAUCACAAUGUGCAAUCACGUCAAGCUUCAUGCCCACCAAUUGGAAGCUAUUUACAAGGAUCAACUUGACAGAGCUUUCGUUGCUAUCAGAAACGGUAGUCAAGAUGAAAGGCUUGACGUCACGACUAGAGUUCACUUAUUGGAGCUGAUUGAACUCAGAGCGAAACAAUGGCGUCAUACAGACGCGAUGGAUUCCUAUUAUUGCCAUAAACUUUCCCACCUCGACAUUCAAGGAGAUGUGCCGCUGACCCCAGACACGCCAACAAACUUGCUGAUUUCUAACUUGAUGCCAACGGCAUCGCCGACCGCUCCCCCAAUCCUCGGACCUGGCGAAGUAAUAAAGAACAGUGGUAAAUUUUCAAAACCGACUCGUAUAUCAGGAAAAAAUUACUGCAAGGAUGAAGUUGUGAUACGCAACAGCGACUCUGGGAAAGUGAUGGGAAUAAAGGGGAGACGAGUUCACAUGAUUGAGGAGCUCAGCGAGACAAUCAUCUCCUUCCAGCGAGUGAACCCUGGAGCCAAAGAACGACUUGUCCAAAUAACGGGAACCUCCGAGGACAAGAUAAACUACGCUAAGGACCUUAUAAAAGAUACAAUACAGCGAAACGCAUCCCCGGUGAGGCUGGAGCAGGGCGGAAGCGACAAGAGUGGAAUAGGAGGCUCCAGCUCUUCGCUGAACAGCAGCGCAUCAGACGAGAGCAACAGGCUUCAGCAACAGCAGCAGCAAGCCUCCCGUUUCCGCUCCACCCUACUCCACAGUUUUUCCACCAACGACGCCAGCAUUGGCGAGUACAAAUAUACAGUCACAGUUGACAACCAUUCCCUCAAGAUCACUGGAUCCAAUCUGGAUCUCGUUAAGACAGCUAAACUGGUACUUGAGGAAUAUUUUUCUGGUGAUUCUGAACACUUUACCAGUGGAGUUGAGUACUUCAGUUUCGAGGAGGAACCGGCUUACGCUCCUGUUACUCCCACGACUCCGCACACCCCGAUUACUCCAGGCGGAUUGAACGCCGUCGGUCGUAAACUAAGCCUAGACAGCGCAGCUACUUCAGAAAGCGAGGAAACAUACAAACCUCGUCCCAAUUCCCAGCUCAGUCCCGCUGCUGCAGCCGAGAGCAGAGAGCUCACGUACGAGUUUCUGCUGCAGUGCUCCGCAGGCCCGUACGCAAAACGAGCCCCGGCCGAUUGGGCUAGAAUCCAAAAGGACUGUCCGAGCAUUGUUAGAAAGGUACAGCAACAACAACAACAACAACAUCAACAGCAACAACAAGAACAACGUGACAACAACUACGACAAUCACUAUUCGUUGUCAAACUGCUCAAUAAUCGCACCGUAUUCUGACGCUAACAAUUGCUAUAACAAUCAAAACGUAGCUUAUGACUUCGACAAUAAUCAACAGAACAACUGCAGAUGGUUUGAAAAUCGCAAUUCUCACUCUGCCACGAUUGCCGUUCGUCAGUACUGAAUUAAAAUACGCGGGGCUCUGGUUCGGUAGUGCAGAAGGAAUAACAAAUCACUAACAUAGCUCGAUAUUAACCAUUAACAAUUAUCCUAACAAUGUGAACAUGUUUUUCUAAUUUUAAGAAUUUUCUUCCCACAGCACUUUGCUCGGAGAUUGAAGGUAACGUGUUUUUUCUUUGGCAAUGAAAUCAGGCCUUUGUCUUUGAUUACUUAGCCAUGUAUCGAGUUCGCGAUAGUUUCUUUCAUUCUCUGUAAUUCGGUAUGUCAAUAAGUUAAAUCAAGAUUCAAAAUAAAGUUCAAAGUUUUAGUUUCAUUUUGAGAUUUGGAAGAAAACUGGCGUAUUCCGUUUUUGACUUAUGAGAUGUUCCAAAUACGUUUCUAUGAACUCGUGUUUAGAUCUUUUUUUAACUACUACUCGGAAAUCGAUUAGUUAAGGAUUUUAAACGAAGUCAUAAAUAAACAGUAAAGUCUUGAAUAUCGUUUUGAGCUUCGUUCAAAAUUUUUUGCACAUUUGGAUUCCAGUUUAUGGUCUAUCAGAAAGAUGAAAUACUUGUUCCAAAAAUUUUGCGCUUAUAAACCCCUAAUUUCAUUUCCGAUGAUUUCUUUUUUUCUUUUCAAUUGUUAACAUGUUCAAUUGUUACUGGCUGAAAUUAUCUCAAGCUCGUUUGAAAAAUGCAAUACUUGUACAUCAUUUCUAGCGCGACAAUCAAUCAGAGGGGAGAAAAAAGACGAAAAAGUAUCCUAUGAGAAGAUUAUAAAAAUGAUCUGUGCUUAUUUAGAGGAUUUAUUAUUAACGAAAACCGAUAAAAAUUGAGAGAAGGAAAAUCGUCAAAAAGAAAAAAAAACUAAGGCAUACAAGAGUAUUACAUAUAUUACGGUGUAUUGUGUAUUGGAAUCGCAUUAAUUGCAUUUCAUAUAAUUCCUCGGGUUCAUUAUUAUUAUCAUAAAAAAGAGAAAAAAAACGAACUAUUACACGAUAUUAUCGAACAGAGUAUAUUGUUAUUAUUAUUCUUAUUAUUAAUGUAUAAAAUGCGUAAAAGCUUAACUUUCUUCGCCGCAUUUAACAGUAUAAAAUUACAAUGCCAAGAUCAAGUUAACCAAAGAUCGUUACCAUUUUCGUAUUCAUACAUCACAUUGGUGAAAAGAAGGUUUAAAAGUCUUCGUAAAUAUCGUGAUUCAAGAAAUGAAAUUAAUAAUGGAAUACUUAUUUAACCGAUAAACAGAUUCGAGUUAUUUAUUGUAAUUUCGAUAGAUUUUAUCUUGAAAUGCGGUAUAAACGCGAGAAACAGGAAAGGAAACAAAAAUCGAGCUUGACGAAAACUGUCAGAAAUUUAAUUUCCCUUCUUUUUUUUUCAAUUCAAUAUUCCAUGGCAGUUUUAGGGUUUUGAAUAUAUACCUAAUGGUCGAUCUGAUAGUAUUACCGUAAUUAAAAUAUAUUUUACACCGUGCUUUCUUUCAUUCUUUUCUUGUGAUUACGGAAAAUUGAUAUUUAGCGUUACUCGUUUAACAGAUUCCAAUGAUUCUGUGAUUAAGGGGGUGCCCUCGUCGAUUUCGACAUUGGAGUAUAUAUCUCCAAAUAUCGUAUGCCCACGUAUUUAAAACGCGAAAAAAGGACCCAUUAUUAACAGCCUCAUUCUAUGCGCAAUUCUGAACAAAAACAUUUCAAUACAUUUUCAUUUUACACAGUAACAAAGAAAUGGCGUGAAUUCUACGAAUUUACUGCGAUUUCUUAGAAAUGCCAUUUCUUUAUUAUCUCCGACAAACGAAAAUGUGUUGGAUCGUUUUUUUUUUUUAUUCAGAAUCGUGCAUAGAAUGGGGCAGUCAAGCUGUUUUUCGCGUUUGAGACACGUGGACUUUGAUAUUUGGAGAUAUAUAAAUCAACGUCGAAAACGACCAGGGCAUCUCCUUGAUAAUUAUUCUUAGCAGUGUUCAUAAUUAUGAACAGGUAAAAAACCAAAAAGAUAUAAACAAAUUCAGUAUUUUCUUUCGAGUACAAUAUUAUUAACAAUAAUAAUAGCAGCGUUGUUAUUAUUUUUUUCAUUAUUAUUAGUAUAUAAAAUUUAUUUUCGUAGAGAUUGAAGUUUAUCAUUAUUAUUAUUAUUAUUAAAAAUGUUAUUAAAGUUUAUGAUGUUGACACAUGCAAUUAUUCCAUGCUUAUAUAUUGUGUCGCAUAGGCGCAUGUAUAUUAUUCUAUAAUGAAAAGAAUUUGACAAAGAAAAGGGCGAAAGCUAUGCAAAGCGGAACCAAUUAAGAAAAAGAAUUUGGUUCCAGUUGCCAUUAUUACUCAUUAUUAUUAUUAUUAUUUGUUACCAUUAGUAUUGAAAAGCAUUGUCGUUAUUUACUUCAGUCAGUUCCAGUUCCUAUGAAUAUUUUUAUCUCGUGUUUUAUUUGAAUUUUCUGUGUAACUUUGUUAUUAUACAAAAAAAAAACAUAUAUAUAUAUAUAUAUAUAUAUAUGUGUGUAUUUGUUUAAAUUUACAAAUUUGUUGUGUAUUGAAUUAGCAAUAUAUAUACAAAUAACUUUGCUGCUAUAUACUUAACGCUAAUUAGUAGUUAACUCUCGUACGAAAGAAAGCUAUGAUUAAAUAGGUAGUUAUUCUUAAAACCAAUACCAAAACCAAAGAAGAUGUGAGAGAGAAGGAAAAAUUAUCAAUACCAAAAUACAAACGGAGAAAACAAAAGAAAAUCGUACACAACAUUAUCGUUAAAUUAAUAACGCUUACCAAGCGAUUAUUAUUAUAAUAUUAAAGAUAAUAGUCGUUUGUUACUAUUGUGGAAUAGAAAAACAAACAAAAAAAACUUACUAAUAAAUAAAAUUCUUGUCUUCUAACAGCUUUCGAUAUUCAUCGCCAAAUGCAAUGCUACCAUAAUAAUAAUACUUCACAUUUAUUAACGAUGAUGUCAUUAUUCAGCGUACUAAUUGUGAGUGAUGCAUCUUACGGUAAAAAGUGGGAAAAUAUGCGAGAACUAAAUUUUUAAUUGAAAGAUUUUCUAUAAAACGAUUUCAUUACACGUACAUAAUGAAAUCAUACAAAAUUUAUCAAAGAUUUUCAGACAGUCGACGAAAUUUUGUAUUUAUUGAAAUAAUUUUUAUAGAUACAGUCAUUAAGUUCUGAAGAUAUUCACAAAUUUCUCGAGAUCUUGUGUAAUUUCAACGAGUUACAGAGAAACUCAUCAAACUUUGUCGAAUAAUGUUUAAUACAUACAUAUAUACAUGUAUAUGCAACCGGAAAAUUUGCAUAAAUUUCCGUGAAUAUUGAUUCCAAAUUAACAAUUUCGCAACGCAUACAUUCCCGUUUACAUAUCCACAUACAUAUACCUGUACGGAUAAAUUUAUAACAUACCUAUAUGUACAUACAUAUUCACUUGUGAAUAUUAAUACAUUAAAUAAUCUGCACAGCAUUUUGUGACCAGGCGAACUAUCACUAUAUACUCAAAUUUUUUAUGGCAUGCUGCUUCUUCCUCCAUGUAACCAAUCCUCAGUGAAGGCUCCGAUCAGCUUUUUUGAACCGGAGGCAUACAAGGUGCGAGUCGCAGCUGCAGGUCUUGUUACCGUCGUACCUGCCGGUGACACAGAAAAUGAAGCAGAGUGAAUUUAACGGUGAAAAAUCAAUAUAUAUAUAUAUAUAUAUAUAUAUAUAUAUAUAUAUAUAUAAAUUUAAUAACUUCUCUAAUCCCUAAUUAGAUCUACUAUUAACAGUAUAUAGAAUAAAUUUAUCGUUAUUAUUACAUUGUGUAACAUAAUAACGCUUUUGCCUCAGGACUGUACAACUUUCUUUUUUAUAAUCGAAAGGAAACUUUUUGCUUUAGAAAACGAUGAUAAAGUAGAUUUGAGAAUAUCUGAAACAACAAGCUCGAUUCAAUCAAAUUAUGGUUCAUCAAAUAAUCGAAAUUCCAGAAAUUAAGGAAUUAUUUAGGUUUUUUGUACGUGAAUUUCGCGAUCGAUUUCGUUACUCUGUUUUGAAAAUUGGUUUUUAAUGCUAGAAGGUAGAAGCAUCAGAGAAUUUCUAAAAGUAUUCAUGGAGUCAAUCCCGUUCACUUUAUUUUUCUAAUUACUUUCGUCUUUUCAGUUUAUUCUCACCCUUUUAUUCUCCAACUAUAGCAGAAAUCUGAUUAUCAAAUCGAUGUAACAUUCAUCGCGACCAGCGCCUUUUACACAUGUUACAAGCCUAAUUAUCAAGUGUUGAGAGUACUUAGUUUUUCAUUUUAUUCAAUGUCGCGCUUUUGGACAUUUGUCUUCUUUGUUUCGUCCGCCUAUUUGUAAAGACAAGUGUGAAAAAUUAGCGGUAGGCGUGAAAAUCCUACACACUAUAUCAGAGAAGAAAAAACAAAAAUAAACACGAGUAUUCUAAAGAUAGCUAAACUGUAUUCAUCAUAUGUAUUGGUUACAUAUAUAUUUUUUUUGUUCUUUGAGCGACUCUUGAUUGAAAUUAGUUGAUUGAAGAGCAAGGGUGUCACUAUUUUAAACUUGUACUAUAUAUUUUUUCUCGCUUCCCGAAUUUUGCUAUCAAUUAUUAAUGUCGUGAGAAAAUUUUUCUAUUCACUUUACUUUAUUUCACUUAUUUAAUUUAUUUAUUUAUUUAUUUAUUCAUUUAUUUAUUUAUUUAUCAACCAAACACACGGUUGUUCUAUCCUAUUUGUCAAAUUAAUUUUUUCUUGUUUUUUUUUUUCUUUUACUCCUGGCGUUGAGAAAAUUAUUUAUUGCAAAAGAGAAAAAGAUAGCGUAGGAAAAAAAAUGGUUAUUAGUUAUUUAUAUUAUGUACUAUGCGUACAGUUUUAUUAGGAAUCUCUCUUUGUCACAUUCGUCCAAAAUAAGAAUAAUAACAAAAAAAAUUAUAUUUUUGUCUGUAAAAUAGUGGCAUCCUAGUAGAUUAUUUAUGAAAAUGUUAUCGCUAACUUAGAAAAAACGCAGCUCUAAUACUUAAUUAAAAUAAUACAGUCCUGAAGGCGUAAAACUGAGGAGCCAAGUUACGAAAAAAAAUUUUACUUCAUCGAACAGCAUUAAAUUUUUUAGCUACUUUGUUUCAACUAUUUGAAAAACAAACGAAAUAGAAACAAAAAGGACGUUCUUCUCUAUUUCUUGUUAUUGUUACGCAAUUUUCAGACAAUGAUCAAAUUCUCAAGAAUAUUAAAAAUUUUACACGGUGCUCUUCAGAUUUUGUUUUACGCGUAUUUUAUAUUCUUGGCGACGAAAGAGAAUCCUGAUAAGUCCUUUAAGGAUUGAACCGACGAUGAUCAGUGAUUAAGUAUAGUCUAGUCUAAAUACUAAUAAUGAGAAUGUCGAUGAAAGCGAAAGAGAGAGGGAGAGAGAGAUAGAAGUAAAAAGCAACGUUGAAAAAAAUAAACGAAAAAAAAUUAAUAUGCAUGUUGCAUUACAUUUCAAUUGUUGAAAUAUCGUUCGAGUAUAAACGUAGAUGACGGACAAGUAAAUCGACUCUAACAACAAAACUACAAAAAAUAACAAAAAAAACUACAAACGAAUCUAAUACCAAAAAAAAAAAGAUUUAUAAAGUGAUUUUAUAUUUUUUACUUUCUAAGCGAACUUGUGAGAUAGAGACUGACAGAGAUAUUGAGAGAUUGGAAGUGAAAGAGUAAAAGAAAUGAGUUUACAUAACACGAGCAUGUUUUACGCCUUUUUUCAUCCGUGUUUUCCGUAAGUGAAUUACCUGUUUUUAUGACGAUAGCGUGAAUCUGCGAAUGCGCAUGCGCGGAGUACAGAAAAGACCACUUUAACUCCUUACUGCUCGCAUGCGCUGUGGUAAACAAAUCUGAUACUACGCGAUCCUAACCUCAAUUUCGUGCUUCGUGAAAAAACGCAUAACAUACUCUUGUUAUAUAAAGAAUAGUGUGCAACAAGGAGGCAUCGGUUUUUUGCCUCUCGUAUUAGCAGUAGUCGCCUUCGGCUCGUGUGUUGCGUGCCCACCUACGACUCAUAUUGCAAGCUUAUGCUCGGCCCGAAAAGACCGAGUUUGCCCCUUUGUUACACAAUAUACUGUUUCAGUAUCGGGGCGCUCCCAGAAAUAAAACUCGAGGCGAAUUUUUGUUCUAGUGUUUGUCUUUAUCAAUAAUCACUGAAAUUAAUGCUAUAACUGUGCUUCAAAGAAAAAAAUUAAAGAAAAAAAAAAAUGUUUUUUUAGUAGGUAAAAAAUUUUGUUUGCUUAUGGUGUAAGGACUUUUCCCUUCGCUUUGUUUAAUUUUUUUUUUUUUUUUCGAAGGGGCGAGAAUUGAAGUAACGAUAUUUUUAUUUACGAUAUGUAGUUUAAUUUUGCACACUGCGCAUUCGCUUUAUAAUUUGGUUCCUGUUAUUAUCUUUUCACUAAUUUUAUUUGUUUAAUUUAUUCACUCAUUAUUCUUUUUCUUGGCAAUAUCUAGUGAAUCACCUAUAACAUUAAAUAAUUUCUUCCAAGAUUUCUAAUUAUAAAUUAUAUUAUGUGAUCUGUGUUUUUAACCGGCAGGUUGUUAUAAAUAAAUAAAUGAUAAUUUAGAGAAAAGUUGGUUAGGUAUAUAAAUAAACAAAUCAAUAUAUUCAAGUAUUUAGAUUUGUUUUCCCUUUUUAUUUUCUUCGCUCAUCGGGGGAUGCGAAUGUAUAGAUUAUUAAUAUUUAUAUAUGACAUACAAAAACUCAAACUCGAAAUACAAAACGACUACGAAAACGAUAAGCCUGCAAUCUCUCCACGAUCUGUUAAAUUGUUUUUAGAAGGUUCGAAAUAUAUCAGAUAUUAUUUUUUUUAAUAAUAAUAAUAAUAAUUGUAAAUUACGAAUCGCUUUAAUUGCGUACGUGAAAAAUAUAUUUGACUAAUUAAAUAAUUUAUUGCCUUGAUAUAAUAUACAAGUAUAUAUGAUAUUAUAAAUAAUAGUCACUACUAACGAAAGAAAUACACAUGCAAUAAUGAAUAACAAUAAAUUUCAUAUGUAAUAGAAUUUAUUAUAUUAUGUACAUAGGUAUAUUUAUUGUGACUGCAACAGUAUACAUGUAAUUUUUUUUUUCAUUUUUAUUUUACCCUCAAUAAAUUUUAAACAUGCUCAACACGAUUUUACGUGUAAUUUUUCCGAUUGUUUUCGUUCUGUGCUCAGAUUGUUCAACAAUUAUUUCCAUCAACAAUUGUUUCUUUUUUCAUGCGAAGUUGCAGCGCACUUAUUUUGGUAUUGUACUUAAAUGUUCGUUCUUCAAAAUAUGGCUGUAUAAAAUGCGAUUUAGGUAAUUAUCGGAGAUGAAGAAAGGGGAAAAAAAUUCUGAACACAUGAAGAUAAUUAUUAUCGUGUAUUAUUUUAUAAAAUUUGUAAGUAAUUAACAAUAUUACAUGUGUUUAUAUUGUAUAUGCACAGGUAAUGGUAAUAGUACUUAACUUACUUAUUAACUUAUCUAUCAUAGUCGUGAAAAAUACUGUCGUUAUUCAAAUUGUACGGCGUGAUUAGGUAAAACACACAUCGUGAAAAAUACAACAAACAAAUGAAGCGAAUGCUAUUUGAAAUUUUUGCGAGUU